GCCUCCUCAAGGUCCCAGGGCAGCUGAGGCUGGUACAAGGGUUCAGAACAGCCAGACUCACCAGCAUCGUGUGGGGCUACAUGGUUUUCGUCCAUCCUGUCUCUCUGCUGAACGAGUGUUUGGCCAUGGUGCUCGUUCCAGGAAGGUUGUCAGCCCUCUGGAUGGUGCAAAAAAGAAAGCUCCAAACUGUCUGAAAUGGACACCUCUGUCAGUCAGGCCAGAGAAAUGCCUCCCAGGGCAGGGGCAGGAGGGGGAGUUCUGGGAAGCCUUCAGUGAUGUAUCGUUGAACUGCUCUAAUCCAGUGCUGGCCAAGGAGGGAUUUAGUGGUCCUGGCUCCACACAUCUCAUUCACAUUGUCCUUCCCAAGGACAGCUGAACAUCUGCUGCCCAUAGGUAACUCCAGGCCGCCGCACGGCCCCGCUCCCAGCUUGGGUGUGAAACCUCUGCCUGCCUCCAUCCCCGCCGACCUGUGCCUGGAGCUUUCAAGUGGCUGUUUUCAUCCUUCUCGGGGCCGUCUGUGAGCAUUCCAAGGGUUGAUUAAAAGGUACCAUCACUGCAAAACA
This is a long non-coding RNA of Pipra filicauda (Wire-tailed manakin), 563 nucleotides long. RefSeq lists it as uncharacterized. NCBI's taxonomy places the organism in Eukaryota, Metazoa, Chordata, Aves, Passeriformes, Pipridae. The transcript is spliced from 3 exons. The record is from RefSeq and is a predicted model, not a curated record.